AGGGAGGGGCCAAACUGAGCCGUCGCUGACAAGCAACGAGAUCAAGCGCUGGUUGGGGGUACCUCGUGGUAAUGGCGGGCGCGGGGAAUGCGAUUUCUUGCGGCGGAGAGGCGCUGGAUGCCGGAUGCCGAUGGGCUGGAGUUCCUGCUGGAUCCAGUUCACCGGUUCCCACUCAGGGAGGAGUUCGCAGACAGCUUGGAGCUGCCAAAUCCGGUGCUUCUGGUACUGCUCCGCUGCAUCGCCGCCGACGCCGUUGCCACCGCCCCCACGCCGUCGGCCCCGAUGACACUGCCCAUCGCCGUUGACCCCGAGCCACCGCUGCUCUCUUAAACUCAGUCUCGCCGGUGCUCCACUCUGCCUUGCUCCCCUCUACCGGACAUCUGCUCACCAGUGUCGUCUUUCUCGGCGGCAUUCUCGUUCUCCAUCACCAACAACUCCAUGGCCCCUUGGUUCUGCACGAGAUCUCUAGUCCAGCAGCCUCCACCAGACACCAGGGGUAACUAAUCCACUUCCCUAAUCUUCUUUUCCAUGGAUUCAUGACCCCGAGUGUUGAUGCUUGUUGUGAAAUUUCCAAGUAUACAGUACGUGAGUAGGCAGUAGCUGAUGUUGGUUCAGUCCAAAAUCAUACAGGUAGAUUUAGACAGGUUUGUGUAACAUGACAUCUGGACAUCAAUCAUACUUGGUUCUUUGUCACUGUCGUGUAGUAUUAGAUUAGGACAAGUUUCUUGAUUGCCACACAACGUUAUUGGAUAAAACACUAUGUCCAUCUAGGAUGAGUCCAUUUGAGCAGUCAAUCCGCAAGUACGCAGAGGAUCCUACGAAAAGCGUGGUGUGCCCAGAACUAAGACUCAUUUUUGACUCUCUCGGUGGGGCGUAUGACUUCUACAACCUGUAUUUUUGGGAAUUGACUUUGGGAUAUGGUAUGUCAAGAGCAGACUGAACGUCAAGAAUACGAAAUCAAUGCAGGAGAACGCUUGCGGUUGCUCGGGCAAGCCGGAGGCCAAGAAUAGCCAUUAGUUGUGUCUAACAAUUCUGUGUGCACGGGUGAUGGAUGUGCUGCACCUGGAAGAAGACAAGAAGUGGACGAAAAGACGCAAGGGACAUUCUGCCUGGACACCUUGUGCAGUACGAGAAAGACCAAGCGGUUAAUAAGUCUUUUACGAGCAGGCAUUCGACUCUGUACGGAAGAAGACAUGAAUGUUGUUUGGAUGGGGGAAGCCAGUGCGGAAGCAUUUUGGAGCAUAUGGUGGCUGGACUGAAGGCAUUGCUGGUGAGCGGUGCACCAUUUGCAGAGAAGAGGGAUGGCUUGGGCACUUGCCCUGACCGGGGCGGAUGCUCUGAAGAAACGGCGAAGGCCGGGGAAAUGCAUGAACUAUGGAAUGGAAGGGCGCCACCUGGACACGUGCACUUGGCUGCUUGGUGAUGAUCACUAAUCAUAAUUAAAUGUGAUAACUAGUUUUUUUUAAUAUGUGUGUUGUAGUCUGAGGAUUUUUCUGGUGUGUUUCAAUGAGCAUUGCCCCACGCUUGUUCCUCCA
This is a long non-coding RNA of Triticum dicoccoides, 1535 nucleotides long. RefSeq lists it as uncharacterized. The transcript is spliced from 4 exons. NCBI's taxonomy places the organism in Eukaryota, Viridiplantae, Streptophyta, Magnoliopsida, Poales, Poaceae. The record is from RefSeq and is a predicted model, not a curated record.